Molecule: ribosomal RNA, 460 nt
Filed under: uncultured bacterium
Lineage: Bacteria
Description: partial 16S ribosomal RNA
Rfam family: Bacterial small subunit ribosomal RNA
Source: RNAcentral
CCUACGGGAGGCAGCAGUGAGGAAUAUUGGUCAAUGGGCGCGAGCCUGAACCAGCCAAGUAGCGUGAAGGAUGACUGCCCUACGGGUUGUAAACUUCUUUUAUAAAGGAAUAAAGUGAGGCACGUGUGCCUUUUUGUAUGUACUUUAUGAAUAAGGAUCGGCUAACUCCGUGCCAGCAUCCGCGGUAAUACGGAGGAUCCGAGCGUUAUCCGGAUUUAUUGGGUUUAAAGGGAGCGUAGAUGGGUUGUUAAGUCAGUUGUGAAAGUUUGCGGCUCAACCGUAAAAUUGCAAUUGAUACUGGCAGCCUUGAGUACAGUUGAGGUAGGCGGAAUUCGUGGUGUAGCGGUGAAAUGCGUAGAUAUCGGGAGGAACACCAGUGGCGAAGGCGGUUUACUGGACCACAACUGACGCUGAGACACGAAAGCGUGGGGAGCAAACAGGAUUAGAUACCCCAGUAGUC